Molecule: ribosomal RNA, 1383 nt
Filed under: uncultured bacterium
Lineage: Bacteria
Description: bacterial SSU rRNA
Rfam family: Bacterial small subunit ribosomal RNA
Source: RNAcentral
CCUGGCUCACGUUGAGCGCUAGCUACAGGCUUAACACAUGCAAGUCGAGGGGCAUCAGGAAGAAAGCUUGCUUUCUUUGCUGGCGACCGGCGCACGGGUGAGUAACACGUAUCCAACCUGCCCUUUACUCGGGGAUAGCCUUUCGAAAGAAAGAUUAAUACCCGAUAGUAUAAUGAUUCCGCAUGGUUUCAUUAUUAAAGGAUUCCGGUAAAGGAUGGGGAUGCGUUCCAUUAGGUUGUUGGUGAGGUAACGGCUCACCAAGCCUUCGAUGGAUAGGGGUUCUGAGAGGAAGGUCCCCCACAUUGGAACUGAGACACGGUCCAAACUCCUACGGGAGGCAGCAGUGAGGAAUAUUGGUCAAUGGGCGCGAGCCUGAACCAGCCAAGUAGCGUGAAGGAUGACUGCCCUAUGGGUUGUAAACUUCUUUUAUAUUAGAAUAAAGUGCAGUAUGUAUACUGUUUUGUAUGUAUAAUAUGAAUAAGGAUCGGCUAACUCCGUGCCAGCAGCCGCGGUAAUACGGAGGAUCCGAGCGUUAUCCGGAUUUAUUGGGUUUAAAGGGAGCGUAGGUGGACUGGUAAGUCAGUUGUGAAAGUUUGCGGCUCAACCGUAAAAUUGCAGUUGAUACUGUCAGUCUUGAGUACAGUAGAGGUGGGCGGAAUUCGUGGUGUAGCGGUGAAAUGCUUAGAUAUCACGAAGAACUCCGAUUGCGAAGGCAGCUCACUGGACUGCAACUGACACUGAUGCUCGAAAGUGUGGGUAUCAAACAGGAUUAGAUACCCUGGUAGUCCACACAGUAAACGAUGAAUACUCGCUGUUUGCGAUAUACAGUAAGCGGCCAAGCGAAAGCAUUAAGUAUUCCACCUGGGGAGUACGCCGGCAACGGUGAAACUCAAAGGAAUUGACGGGGGCCCGCACAAGCGGAGGAACAUGUGGUUUAAUUCGAUGAUACGCGAGGAACCUUACCCGGGCUUAAAUUGCAGUGGAAUGAUGUGGAAACAUGUCAGUGAGCAAUCACCGCUGUGAAGGUGCUGCAUGGUUGUCGUCAGCUCGUGCCGUGAGGUGUCGGCUUAAGUGCCAUAACGAGCGCAACCCUUAUCUUUAGUUACUAACAGGUCAUGCUGAGGACUCUAGAGAGACUGCCGUCGUAAGAUGUGAGGAAGGUGGGGAUGACGUCAAAUCAGCACGGCCCUUACGUCCGGGGCUACACACGUGUUACAAUGGGGGGUACAGAAGGCAGCUACCUGGUGACAGGAUGCUAAUCCCAAAAGCCUCUCUCAGUUCGGAUCGAAGUCUGCAACCCGACUUCGUGAAGCUGGAUUCGCUAGUAAUCGCGCAUCAGCCACGGCGCGGUGAAUACGUUCCCGGGCCUUGUACACACCGCCC